GUCUGCGGCCACACCGACCUGACCGCACCCGAUCCCGUCUGACCUCGGAAGCUAAGCAGGGUCGGGCCCGGUUAGGAUCUUGGAUGGGAGAAAGGCUGGAGAUG
This 104-nucleotide ribosomal RNA is filed under the name Propithecus coquereli (Coquerel's sifaka). Lineage: Eukaryota; Metazoa; Chordata; Mammalia; Primates; Indriidae. The record is from RNAcentral.